This 342-nucleotide ribosomal RNA is filed under the name Triticum aestivum (bread wheat). Its description in RNAcentral is "partial small subunit ribosomal RNA". The record is from RNAcentral. Lineage: Eukaryota; Viridiplantae; Streptophyta; Magnoliopsida; Poales; Poaceae.
AUGGGCAGCUUCACGCUCGACCAUGAGUUCCCAAAGGACUACGGCCUCAAAGAAGAGGAUGAAUUGGACAUCGACGAGGAGCCUUUGUUCGAGGACAAGCUCGUCAACCAAGUCGGCGCGAAGCUGAAGCACAAAAGCAAACGGACAAAGGCAUACACGCCGUCCAAGGACAAGCUCCUUUGUGAGUGUUGGAGGGACAUUGGGAAAGACCCCAAGGUCGGCAUCGAACAAAAGGCAUCAACCUUUUGGAUUCGUGUUCAUCGUGAGUAGCAUGAACGCAAGAAGUUUGUGCCGUACGAAAUGCAAAGCAAGCAUGGGAGGGUGUCCCUCUCGAAGCGAUGA